UGGCGCUCGGAAAAACUGACCCAAGGAUGCUCAACAUGGCUGUUAUUAGUGUCAUGCUCACAGCCAUCGUGUCUUCAACGUUGCCAUCAUGCCAAGGAGACGAUAAACCAUGGGCAUGCGGAAAAUAUGUAGGAAACUGCACCGAGGAGUGGUGCAACCAGGAAUGCAAAAACAAUGGCUUUAUGGUUGAUUAUAGAUCGACAUGCGUAACCUUUGAAGGUCAUCAUAAGUGUUGCUGUCAAUAUCAGACAUAUCAAAUAUGGACAUGCAUAAUUGUAACAAACUGCAACACCAUGGCUUGCUGGCGUGACUGCAGCGAACGAAGAGGCUUUUUUGAACCUUUUCUAGUGCAAUGCUCUACAAUUGGAGA
Lolium perenne is the source of this 370-nucleotide long non-coding RNA. RefSeq lists it as uncharacterized. Lineage: Eukaryota; Viridiplantae; Streptophyta; Magnoliopsida; Poales; Poaceae. The record is from RefSeq and is a predicted model, not a curated record.